This 406-nucleotide ribosomal RNA is filed under the name uncultured bacterium. RNAcentral describes it as "partial 16S ribosomal RNA". It matches the Rfam family "Bacterial small subunit ribosomal RNA", at positions 30 to 526 of the family's 1533-position model. The record is from RNAcentral.
AUUGAACGCUGGCGGCAGGCUUAACACAUGCAAGUCGAGCGAGCGGCGGAAGGGAGAGUAAUGUAUGGGAAACUGCCUGAUGGAGGGGGACAACAAAUGGAAACGGUAGCUAAUAACGCAUACAAGAAGAUGUGCCGAGAUGGGAUUAGCUAGUAGGUGGGGUAAAGGAUCACCAAGGCGACGAUCCCUAGCUGGUCUGAGAGGAUGACCAGCCACACUGGAACUGAGACACGGUCCAGACUCCUACGGGAGGCAGCAGUGGGGAAUAUUGCACAAUGGGCGCAAGCCUGAUGCAGCCAUGCCGCGUGUGUGAAGAAGGCCUUCGGGUUGUAAAGCACUUUCAGCUAGGAGGCGUUACUCGCAGAAGAAGCACCGGCUAACUUCGUGCCAGCCGCCGCGGUAAUUC